CUGCAACGCCUGGCUGCUGAGAGCUGCUGAGAAGCCAUGACUUUGGAUCUCUUGUUUCUCAACCUCACCCUGCUCGGGGCCGUGAAGCCUCAGGAGCAGGUUUUCAAUAUAACUGUGUUACCAACCUUUCCUCCGAUCAACCCGGUUCCCCUGCAGCCAAAGUUCCAGUACGACAAGUUCCAGGGCAAGUGGUACACGAUAGCGAUGGCAGACAGCAGAAUUCGCAAUGGAAAGCAAAAGGGGUUAAACAUGCAGAGCGUCACCUACAUGCUGAUACAGAACUACAACUACGUUGUCA
This 298-nucleotide long non-coding RNA is filed under the name Cavia porcellus (domestic guinea pig). Its description in RNAcentral is "lncRNA (ENSCPOG00000009532.4)". Lineage: Eukaryota; Metazoa; Chordata; Mammalia; Rodentia; Caviidae. The record is from RNAcentral.